RNAcentral lists this ribosomal RNA (253 nucleotides) under uncultured bacterium. RNAcentral describes it as "partial 16S ribosomal RNA". It matches the Rfam family "Bacterial small subunit ribosomal RNA", at positions 524 to 776 of the family's 1533-position model. The record is from RNAcentral.
UACGUAGGGUGCAAGCGUUGUCCGGAAUUAUUGGGCGUAAAGAGCUCGUAGGCGGUUUGUCGCGUCUGCUGUGAAAUCCCGAGGCUCAACCUCGGGUCUGCAGUGGGUACGGGCAGACUAGAGUGCGGUAGGGGAGAUUGGAACUCCUGGUGUAGCGGUGGAAUGCGCAGAUAUCAGGAAGAACACCGAUGGCGAAGGCAGAUCUCUGGGCCGUAACUGACGCUGAGGAGCGAAAGCAUGGGGAGCGAACAGG